RNAcentral lists this transfer RNA (71 nucleotides) under Candidatus Organicella extenuata. RNAcentral's name for it is "tRNA-Gln". It matches the Rfam family "tRNA". Rfam says of the family: Transfer RNA (tRNA) molecules are approximately 80 nucleotides in length. The record is from RNAcentral. Lineage: Bacteria; Pseudomonadati; Verrucomicrobiota.
UGUCUAGUGGUGUAAUGGCAGCACAGCGGAUUUUGGUUCCGUAAGUUGAGGUUCGAAUCCUUAUUAGACAG